UACGAAGGGGGCUAGCGUUGUUCGGAAUCACUGGGCGUAAAGCGCGCGCAGGUGGUUUCUUAAGUCUGAUGUGAAAGCCCACGGCUCAACCGUGGAGGGUCAUUGGAAACUGGGAGACUUGAGUGCAGAAGAGGAAAGUGGAAUUCCAUGUGUAGCGGUGAAAUGCGUAGAGAUAUGGAGGAACACCAGUGGCGAAGGCGACUUUCUGGUCUGUAACUGACACUGAGGCGCGAAAGCGUGGGGAGCAAACAGG
This 253-nucleotide ribosomal RNA is filed under the name uncultured bacterium. Its description in RNAcentral is "partial 16S ribosomal RNA". It matches the Rfam family "Bacterial small subunit ribosomal RNA", at positions 524 to 776 of the family's 1533-position model. The record is from RNAcentral.